This 351-nucleotide RNase P RNA is filed under the name Clostridiales bacterium. RNAcentral's name for it is "RNase P RNA component class A". It matches the Rfam family "Bacterial RNase P class A". Rfam says of the family: Ribonuclease P (RNase P) is a ubiquitous endoribonuclease, found in archaea, bacteria and eukarya as well as chloroplasts and mitochondria. Its best characterised activity is the generation of mature 5'-ends of tRNAs by cleaving the 5'-leader elements of precursor-tRNAs. Cellular RNase Ps are ribonucleoproteins. The record is from RNAcentral. Lineage: Bacteria; Bacillati; Bacillota; Clostridia; Eubacteriales.
CGAGUAAGCCGAGCAGCCGCGGGAGAAACGCCGAAAGGCUUCUCCUGAGGAAAGUCCGGGCUCCAUAGGGCAAGGAUAGCGGGUAACGCCCGCCGAAGGCGACUUCAGGACGAGUGCAACAGAGAUAUACCGCCGGAAGGUUCUCUUCCGGUAAGGGUGGAAAAGUGAGGUAAGAGCUCACUCGGCGGCUGGAGACAGCCCGUCGCUGUAAACUCUAUCCGGAGCAACACCGUGGAAGAGCAUAAAGGCCUGCCCGGCCGCUCUGAGGAGGUGGCUUGAGCCCAUUGGCAACAAUGGGCCUAGAUAGAUGGCUGCUUUGAACAGAAUCCGGCUUACAGGCUUGCUCGCACC